This 72-nucleotide transfer RNA is filed under the name Loxodonta africana (African savanna elephant). It matches the Rfam family "tRNA". From Rfam's summary of the family: Transfer RNA (tRNA) molecules are approximately 80 nucleotides in length. Their secondary structure includes four short double-helical elements and three loops (D, anti-codon, and T loops). Lineage: Eukaryota; Metazoa; Chordata; Mammalia; Proboscidea; Elephantidae. The record is from Rfam by way of RNAcentral.
GGAGAUGUAGCUUAGUAGUAGAGCACACGGUGUGCGUGUAUGAGGCCUUGUGUUCGAUCCCUGGCAUCUCCA